CUUGGUGAACAUAGCAAGCGUGAACCACCCGAUCCCAUCCCGAACUCGGAAGUGAAACCGCUUAGCGCCGAUGAUAGUGUGGCAGGUUGCCAUGUGAAAGUAGGUCAUCGCCAAGC
This is a ribosomal RNA of Methylomonas sp. LWB, 116 nucleotides long. The record is from Rfam. Lineage: Bacteria; Pseudomonadati; Pseudomonadota; Gammaproteobacteria; Methylococcales; Methylococcaceae.